GGACGAGGACGACCUCGCCCGCUCAUGGGAUGCGACAUCCGGGACGGCCCGG
This 52-nucleotide non-coding RNA is filed under the name Rubellimicrobium mesophilum DSM 19309. RNAcentral's name for it is "Rubellimicrobium sp. MSL 20 Guanidine-II riboswitch aptamer (mini-ykkC)". It matches the Rfam family "Guanidine-II riboswitch aptamer (mini-ykkC)". From Rfam's summary of the family: Simpler in structure and has fewer highly conserved nucleotide positions than the ykkC-yxkD leader. Despite this each of its two stem-loop structures directly bind free guanidine. RNAcentral also lists the same sequence under 1 other name. The record is from Rfam by way of RNAcentral. Lineage: Bacteria; Pseudomonadati; Pseudomonadota; Alphaproteobacteria; Rhodobacterales; Roseobacteraceae.